RNAcentral lists this ribosomal RNA (253 nucleotides) under uncultured bacterium. Its description in RNAcentral is "partial 16S ribosomal RNA". It matches the Rfam family "Bacterial small subunit ribosomal RNA", at positions 524 to 776 of the family's 1533-position model. The record is from RNAcentral.
UACAGAGGGGGCAAGCGUUGUUCGGAAUUACUGGGCGUAAAGGGCGCGUAGGUGGCCUUCUAAGUUGAACGUGAAAUCCCUGGGCUCAACCCAGGAACUGCGUCCAAGACUGGGAGGCUUGAAUCCGGGAGAGGGAUGCGGAAUUCCAGGUGUAGCGGUGAAAUGCGUAGAUAUCUGGAGGAACACCGGUGGCGAAGGCGGCAUCCUGGACCGGUAGUGACACUGAGGCGCGAAAGCCAGGGGAGCAAACGGG